This 24-nucleotide non-coding RNA is filed under the name Rattus norvegicus (Norway rat). Lineage: Eukaryota; Metazoa; Chordata; Mammalia; Rodentia; Muridae. The record is from RNAcentral.
UGCCACUAGCCUUCGGAAGGUUCC